CAACGGCGGCAGUAACCCUGACUGUCCUAAGGUAGCGAAAUCCCUUGACGUUUAAUUGGCGUCGUUGCAUGAAUGGCUGAACGACUGUCGUGCUGUCUCUAACGUGGAAUCUGUGAAUUUGCACUCUUCGUGCAGAUGCGAAGAUGCUGACAAGGGACGAAGAGACCCUAUGCAGCUUAGCUGGGUGUGAAAAGUUUGUUUAGGAGAGUACAGCGGGUUAUUUUAUCCCCCCCUUGCUACAGGACACUAACUUUGAGGCUCAAGCUUCGCUGGGACGGCGGCUUCCUGAAUAGUAACGGGAGCAAAACAAUGGUACUGCUAAAACUUAAAUGGAAAGUUGUACUUAACUGCAAGAACCACUAUUCGAGCAGAGAUUGUUGGGCGGUUGUUUUUUUACAAUUUCUUAAUGAUG
This 412-nucleotide ribosomal RNA is filed under the name Volvox carteri f. nagariensis. RNAcentral describes it as "LSU rRNA". It matches the Rfam family "Bacterial large subunit ribosomal RNA", at positions 1925 to 2439 of the family's 2925-position model. The record is from RNAcentral. Lineage: Eukaryota; Viridiplantae; Chlorophyta; Chlorophyceae; Chlamydomonadales; Volvocaceae.